GAUGAAGAACGUAGUGAAAUGCGAUAAGUAGUGUGAAUUGCAGAAUUCAGUGAAUCAUCGAAUCUUUGAACGCACAUUGCGCCCUUUGGUAUUCCAAAGGGCAUGCCUGUUCGAGCGUCAUUUGUACCCUCAAGCUUUGCUUGGUGUUGGGCGUCUUGUCUCUAGCUUUGCUGGAGACUCGCCUUAAAGUAAUUGGCAGCCGGCCUACUGGUUUCGGAGCGCAGCACAAGUCGCACUCUCUAUCAGCAAAGGUCUAGCAUCCAUUAAGCCUUUUUUUCAACUUUUGACCUCAGAUCAGGUAGGGAUACCCGCUGAACUUAAGCAUAUCAAUAAGCGGAGGA
This 341-nucleotide unclassified non-coding RNA is filed under the name soil metagenome. Its description in RNAcentral is "partial contains 5.8S ribosomal RNA, internal transcribed spacer 2, and large subunit ribosomal RNA". The stretch from base 1 to 120 matches the Rfam family "5.8S ribosomal RNA", at positions 35 to 154 of the family's 154-position model. The record is from RNAcentral.